ACGCCAUGGUGUGGACAUUCCAUCUGCAGGUCCUUAUAUCUUUCCAAUGCAUCAUAGAGUGAUUCACUUUCCUUUUGUCUUAAGGUGUUGAGCUCAAGCUUCAGUCU
Small nucleolar RNA from Hevea brasiliensis (rubber tree), 107 nucleotides. Lineage: Eukaryota; Viridiplantae; Streptophyta; Magnoliopsida; Malpighiales; Euphorbiaceae. The record is from RefSeq and is a predicted model, not a curated record.